AGGUGCUGCAUGGCUGUCGUCAGCUCGUGUCGUGAGAUGUUGGGUUAAGUCCCGCAACGAGCGCAACCCUCGCCUUUAGUUGCCAGCAUUCAGUUGGCACUCUAGGAGGGACUGCCGGUGUACAAACCGGAGGAAGGUGGGAUGACGUCAAGUCCUCAUGGCCUUUAUGUCUAGGGCUACACACGUACUACAAUGGCCGGUACAAAGGGCAGCCACUCAGCGAUGAGGCGCUAAUCCCAUAAAGCCGGUCUCAGUCCGGAUCGCAGUCUGCAACUCGACUGCGUGAAGUUGGAAUCGCUAGUAAUCGUAGGAUCAGCAUGCUACGGUGAAUACGGUUCCCGGGCCUU
This 347-nucleotide ribosomal RNA is filed under the name uncultured Desulfovibrio sp. RNAcentral's name for it is "bacterial SSU rRNA". It matches the Rfam family "Bacterial small subunit ribosomal RNA", at positions 1036 to 1382 of the family's 1533-position model. Lineage: Bacteria; Pseudomonadati; Thermodesulfobacteriota; Desulfovibrionia; Desulfovibrionales; Desulfovibrionaceae. The record is from RNAcentral.